Molecule: ribosomal RNA, 492 nt
Filed under: uncultured bacterium
Lineage: Bacteria
Description: partial 16S ribosomal RNA
Rfam family: Bacterial small subunit ribosomal RNA
Source: RNAcentral
AGUGAACGCUGGCGGUAGGCCUAACACAUGCAAGUCGAACGGCAGCACAGUAAGAGCUUGCUCUUACGGGUGGCGAGUGGCGGACGGGUGAGGAAUACAUCGGAAUCUACUUUUUCGUGGGGGAUAACGUAGGGAAACUUACGCUAAUACCGCAUACGACCUACGGGUGAAAGCAGUGGAUCUUCGGACCUUGCGCGAUUGAAUGAGCCGAUGUCGGAUUAGCUAGUUGGCGGGGUAAAGGCCCACCAAGGCGACGAUCCGUAGCUGGUCUGAGAGGAUGAUCAGCCACACUGGAACUGAGACACGGUCCAGACUCCUACGGGAGGCAGCAGUGGGGAAUAUUGGACAAAGGGCGCAAGCCUGAUCCAGCCAUACCGCGUGGGUGAAGAAGGCCUUCGGGUUGUAAAGCCCUUUUGUUGGGAAAGAAAAGCAGCAGGUUAAUACCCCGCUGUUCUGACGGUACCCAAAGAAUAAGCACCGGCUAACUUCGUG